AACCCUAUGGAUUAAGAAUGGGAUGUCACUUAAGCUCACAUGUGAGUCAAGGCAGAGUCCUUGUGUUAGGGCUGAAGAGGAGGCUCCUGUGUUGGAGGAGGAGGAGGAGGUCGACACUAAAACAUUGCAAAGAGGAAAGAGACGUUACAAUCACUGAUCAGUCUUGGAGGAAAGGCCUGCU
Cheilinus undulatus (humphead wrasse) is the source of this 181-nucleotide long non-coding RNA. RefSeq lists it as uncharacterized. The record is from RefSeq and is a predicted model, not a curated record. NCBI's taxonomy places the organism in Eukaryota, Metazoa, Chordata, Actinopteri, Labriformes, Labridae. The transcript is spliced from 3 exons.